GAUGAACGCUGGCGGCGUGCUUAACACAUGCAAGUCGAGCGAGAGAGUUCUUCGGAACAAUCUAGCGGCGGACGGGUGAGUAACACGUGGGCAACCUGCCUCAUAGAGGGGAAUAGCCUUCCGAAAGGAAGAUUAAUACCGAAUAACAUCGUUGAAGGGCAUCCUUCGAUGAUUCAAGGAGCACUCCGCUAUGAGAUGGGCCCGCGGCGCGUUGGUUAGUUGGUGAGGUAGCGGCUCACCAAGGCGACGAUGCGUAGCCGACCUGAGAGGGUGAUCGGCCACAUUGGGACUGAGACACGGCCCAGACUCCUACGUGAGGCAGCAGUGGGGAAUAUUGCACAAUGGGGGAAACCCUGAUGCAGCAACGCCGCGUGAGUGAUGACGGCCUUCGGGUUGUAAAGCUCUGUCUUUGGGGACGAUAAUGACGGUACCCAAGGAGGAAGUCACGGCUAACUACGUGCCAGCCGCCGCGGUAA
RNAcentral lists this ribosomal RNA (476 nucleotides) under uncultured bacterium. RNAcentral describes it as "partial 16S ribosomal RNA". It matches the Rfam family "Bacterial small subunit ribosomal RNA", at positions 28 to 523 of the family's 1533-position model. The record is from RNAcentral.